This 258-nucleotide ribosomal RNA is filed under the name uncultured bacterium. RNAcentral's name for it is "partial 16S ribosomal RNA". It matches the Rfam family "Bacterial small subunit ribosomal RNA", at positions 793 to 1055 of the family's 1533-position model. The record is from RNAcentral.
GUCCACGCCGUAAACGAUGGAUACUAGCUGUUCGGUAGCAAUACUGAGUGGCUAAGCGAAAGUGAUAAGUAUCCCACCUGGGGAGUACGAACGCAAGUUUGAAACUCAAAAGGAAUUGACGGGGGCCCGCACAAGCGGUGGAGCAUGUGGUUUAAUUCGAUGAUACGCGAGGAACCUUACCAGGGCUUAAAAUGUAGGUUGACAGGCUUGGAAACAGGUUUUUCUCGGACAACUUACAAGGUGCUGCAUGGUUGUCGU